This 825-nucleotide long non-coding RNA is filed under the name Solanum tuberosum (potato). RNAcentral's name for it is "long non-coding RNA (STUB_LNC009672)". The record is from RNAcentral. Lineage: Eukaryota; Viridiplantae; Streptophyta; Magnoliopsida; Solanales; Solanaceae.
UUGAGGGGUUUGUACCUCUUUCGCCUCUCCAAGGGGGUGGUAGGCCUUGGAAAUACUAUAUUGAUGGUCACUCACCACACAUGUACUACGCCCCACUAAAUAUGAUUUAUUUUAUGUAAGCAUCAUUAUACAUAUCAUCUCAUUAAUAUGCUAUCUAUCGGGUAUGAUUAUGCACGUUGCCUAUAAAGUCCUUAUCUAAGGUAAUCUUGGGGAACACUUAAGUGUGCUUGAAGAGGAUUGUGUGGGUGGUCACUUCUUCUCGCACUCAAGUGUGUCUUAAGGUUAUAUUAGGUAGAGGUCCUAUGGUAAUGAAAUGACAUGUGUUCUUUUAAAGUUAAGCAUGGGUUGUAUAUGGAUUUAUGUUUAAGUAUAUGUAUGGUUGGCUAUGGUCUUAUAUGUUAAUGUUGACUUGUAUUAUGUCUCUUAUACUUGUAACGGAAAGGUUUUAUCAAAGGAUAUGAAAGCAUACAUUUCUUGUAAAUGUCCGUUGUGCAUAUUUUCUUGCAUGGUCUCCAUACUUAGUACUUAAUUGUGCUAACCCCUUUCUUUCGCUUUUUGACUAAAGUGUAGGGAUUUGGAGAUGGUGAUAUGUCAUGGCUACUUGAUAGGUUCUUAAGAGUUGAAGAUGAAGACUUGGUGAGUCCUCAUAGAUUCGAGGGCAAUAACCAACAUGUUCCUUUUUUUAUGUCUCUCUAGUAUUUGCUUAAGUUUUGAGUGGGCUUAGUCCCAAUGUUAUAUUCAUGUAUUAGAUGGUUUUGAGACAUAUUGUAUAAAGUCUAGAAAGUCUUUCGCUUGCUAUUUAUUGAAAGUAUCUUCGUGUGUGAA